AGCGAACGCUGGCGGCAGGCCUAACACAUGCAAGUCGAACGAACCUUUCGGGGUUAGUGGCGGACGGGGGAGGAACACGUGGGAACGUGCCGGUAGGUUCGGAAAAACUCAGGGAAACUUGGGCUAAUACCGGAUGUGCCCUGCUGGGAAAGGAUUGAUCGCCUUUGGAGCGGCCGGCGACUGCUUGACUAGUUGGGUGAGGUAAUGGCUCACCAAGGCGACGAUCAGUAGCUGGUCUGGGAGGAUGAUCAGCAACAUUGGGACUGGGACACGGCGCAAACUCCUGCGGGAGGCAGCAGUGGGGAACCUGGCGCAACGGGCGAAAGCCGGACGCCGCCGUGCUGUGUGAAUGAUGAAGGUGUUAGGAAUGUAAAAUUCUUUAACCGGCGACGAUAAUGACGGUACCAGGAGAAGAAGCCCCGGCUAACUCCGU
This 433-nucleotide ribosomal RNA is filed under the name uncultured bacterium. Its description in RNAcentral is "partial 16S ribosomal RNA". It matches the Rfam family "Bacterial small subunit ribosomal RNA", at positions 30 to 506 of the family's 1533-position model. The record is from RNAcentral.